AAUUCCAAUUCCUUGGGACUAUGUGAUGGAAAUGGAGAUUUAGGAGUUUAGAGAACAUGGAGUUAUUUGUUGGAAGCUGAAGACUUUAUUUUAUGGCUUUUUUUAACAAUGGAAGUUGUAUUUUAAAAUUUCAUUUUAUGGACUAUGAUAAUUUGAUUUUAUAUUUCUUUACUUGUAAGUUGUAAUCUUGAAUUUUGUGUUGUAAUUUUCAUUUUGUGGACUAUGUUAAACUUGAUUUUGUGUUGUAAUUUUUAUUUUGUAGUUUUUUUUAUGUUUUUUUUUUAAUUUUUUAUGGUAAUUUUCAUAUAAAUGUUCAAUAUAAGCAGAUGGGGAAUGGGACCCGCGGAGAACACGGGUAACGUGGGGAAUGGGGAUGGGGUAAUUAUCCCCCAUGGCGGGGAAUGGGGCGGGGACGGGGACAAAAUUUGAGGGCGGGGACGG
Molecule: non-coding RNA, 441 nt
Organism: Arachis ipaensis
Lineage: Eukaryota; Viridiplantae; Streptophyta; Magnoliopsida; Fabales; Fabaceae
Source: RefSeq, a predicted model, not a curated record